AUACGUAGGUGACAAGCGUUAUCCGGAUUUACUGGGCGUAAAGGGCGCGUAGGCGGUCUUGCAAGUCAGAAGUGAAAUUCCUGAGCUCAACUCGGGCGCUGCUUCUGAAACUGCAGGACUUGAGUGCUGGAGGGGAUAGCGGAAUUCCUAGUGGAGCGGUAAAAUGCGCAGAUAUUAGGAAGAACACCGGUGGCGAAGGCGGCUAUCUGGACAGUAACUGACGCUGAGGCGCGAAAGCGUGGGGAGCAAACAGGAUUAGAUACCCUUGUAGUCCACGCCAGAAACGAUGAAUACUAGGUGUAGGGGGUAUCGACUCCCUCUGUGCCGCAGUUAACACAAUAAGUAGUCCGCCUGGGGAGUACGGCCGCAAGGUUGAAACUCAAAUGAAUUGACGGGG
RNAcentral lists this ribosomal RNA (397 nucleotides) under uncultured bacterium. Its description in RNAcentral is "partial 16S ribosomal RNA". It matches the Rfam family "Bacterial small subunit ribosomal RNA", at positions 523 to 918 of the family's 1533-position model. The record is from RNAcentral.